Molecule: ribosomal RNA, 253 nt
Filed under: uncultured bacterium
Lineage: Bacteria
Description: partial 16S ribosomal RNA
Rfam family: Bacterial small subunit ribosomal RNA
Source: RNAcentral
UACGGAGGGGGCUAGCGUUGUUCGGAAUUACUGGGCGUAAAGCGCACGUAGGCGGCUUUGUAAGUUAGAGGUGAAAGCCCGGAGCUCAACUCCGGAAUUGCCUUUAAGACUGCAUCGCUAGAAUUGUGGAGAGGUAAGUGGAAUUCCGAGUGUAGAGGUGAAAUUCGUAGAUAUUCGGAAGAACACCAGUGGCGAAGGCGGCUCACUGGACCGGCAUUGACGCUGAUGUGCGAAAGCGUGGGGAGCAAACAGG